AAAGGAAUUGACGGGGGCCCGCACAAGCGGUGGAGCAUGUGGUUUAAUUCGAAGCAACGCGAAGAACCUUACCAAGGCUUGACAUCCCUAUGAAUAUAUUAGAGAUAGUAUAGCCCUUCGGGGCAUAGGUGACAGGUGGUGCAUGGUUGUCGUCAGCUCGUGUCGUGAGAUGUUGGGUUAAGUCCCGCAACGAGCGCAACCCUUACUUUUAGUAGCCAGCAGGUAAAGCUGGGCACACUAGAGGGACUGCCGUAGAUAAUACGGAGGAAGGUGGGGAUGAUGUCAAAUCAUCAUGCCCCUUAUGUCUUGGGCUACACACGUGCUACAAUGGCGCAUACAAAUUGAAGCAAAAGGGUGACCUGGAGCGAAACAAAAAAAAGCGCCUCAGUUCGGAUUGUAGGCUGCAACUCGCCUACAUGAAGUUGGAAUCGCUAGUAAUCGCAAAUCAGCAUGUUGCGGUGAAUACGUUCCCGGGCCUUGUACACACCGCCCGU
Molecule: ribosomal RNA, 494 nt
Filed under: uncultured bacterium
Lineage: Bacteria
Description: bacterial SSU rRNA
Rfam family: Bacterial small subunit ribosomal RNA
Source: RNAcentral